ACACCCCACAUCCAAAAAUUUAUUUUUUUUUUAGAUAGAUUUUUGCUGAUGGAAUUGAGAGUACUUUUACGGUUGACAUUUAUUUGUUCGCCGUUCUCUUUAAAAAUAUUAGGCCUGAAAUUUUAGUUUUUUAAAUUUGCCUGAACUUUUUUUUUAAUAUAAAGGAAAAGCUCUAGGUUCAAAUGUUUUAAAAAAAAGCUUAUUAUUUAGGGGCCUCCCAUAAAUAAAACCUUUCUUAA
Molecule: unclassified non-coding RNA, 239 nt
Filed under: Mucor saturninus
Lineage: Eukaryota; Fungi; Mucoromycota; Mucoromycetes; Mucorales; Mucoraceae
Description: partial internal transcribed spacer 2
Source: RNAcentral